UAUAACCAGUGUCGUGCC
RNAcentral lists this non-coding RNA (18 nucleotides) under Arabidopsis thaliana (thale cress). Lineage: Eukaryota; Viridiplantae; Streptophyta; Magnoliopsida; Brassicales; Brassicaceae. The record is from RNAcentral.